Molecule: ribosomal RNA, 253 nt
Filed under: uncultured bacterium
Lineage: Bacteria
Description: partial 16S ribosomal RNA
Rfam family: Bacterial small subunit ribosomal RNA
Source: RNAcentral
UACGGAGGGGGCGAGCGUUAUUCGGAAUUAUUGGGCGUAAAGGGCGCGUAGGCGGCUUGAUGUGUCAAAGGUGAAAUCCCUCGGCUCAACUGAGGAACUGCCUUUGAAACUGUCUGGCUUGAGGCCGGGAGAGGGUAGCGGAAUUCCCAGUGUAGCGGUGAAAUGCGUAGAUACCGGGAGGAACACCGGUGGCGAAGGCGGCUACCUGGACCGGUUCUGACGCUGAUGCGCGAAAGCGUGGGUAGCAAACAGG